UACGGAGGAUGCGAGCGUUAUCCGGAUUUAUUGGGUUUAAAGGGCGCGUAGGCGGACUGUCAAGUCAGCGGUAAAAUUGAGAGGCUCAACCUCUUCCCGCCGUUGAAACUGGUGGUCUUGAGUGGAUGAGAAGUACGCGGAAUGCGUAGUGUAGCGGUAAAAUGCAUAGAUAUCACGCAGAACUCCGAUUGCGAAGGCAGCGUACCGGCAUCCAACUGACGCUGAGGCACGAAAGCGUGGGGAUCAAACAGG
Molecule: ribosomal RNA, 252 nt
Filed under: uncultured bacterium
Lineage: Bacteria
Description: partial 16S ribosomal RNA
Rfam family: Bacterial small subunit ribosomal RNA
Source: RNAcentral